This 239-nucleotide ribosomal RNA is filed under the name uncultured Anoxybacillus sp. RNAcentral's name for it is "partial 16S ribosomal RNA". It matches the Rfam family "Bacterial small subunit ribosomal RNA", at positions 1147 to 1382 of the family's 1533-position model. Lineage: Bacteria; Bacillati; Bacillota; Bacilli; Caryophanales; Anoxybacillaceae. The record is from RNAcentral.
GACUGCCGGCUAAAAGUCGGAAGGAAGGUCGGGGAUGACGUCAAAUCAUCAUGCCCCUUAUGACCUGGGCUACACACCGUGCUACAAUGGGCGGUACAAAGGGUCGCGAACCCGCAGGGGGAGCCAAUCCCAAAAAAGCCGCUCUCAGUUCGGAUUGCAGGCUGCAACUCGCCUGCAUGAAGCCGGAAUCGCUAGUAAUCGCGGAUCAGCAUGCCGCGGUGAAUGCGUUCCCGGGCCUU